AGAAGCACACUCUUAGUUGAUUUCAAACACUGUUAAAACAUAGAAAUACUUUAUUUGAUGCAAAUCAGAUUUUUUGUAAUUGCUCCAUAUAAACUCCAGAAGACACUCUGAUAGUCAGAGAUCCUCAGACCUCAUCAAGUGAGCUGAUCAUCAUGUUUGCUGCCCGUGUACUUCACGCCAUGGCUGCCCUUGCUGUUCUAGCCACACUUGCUGCUGCUGAUGUGAUGCAGCCUAGAGCUGUAAAUUCUCCUGUUGUUCCACCGUGGUAGAGGCCUUUGAAUUCUUAGAUUGAAGAAUUCAUCACUGGAGCAGAACCACUAAAGGAGCUGUCUUUUUACUCCUUCUUGUUUAACAAUGGCUCCAAUUCUGUUUCACCAAGUUCAAGAAUAAAAUCUGCUUGCAAGUC
Long non-coding RNA from Erpetoichthys calabaricus (reedfish), 406 nucleotides. RefSeq lists it as uncharacterized. The transcript is spliced from 2 exons. The record is from RefSeq and is a predicted model, not a curated record. NCBI's taxonomy places the organism in Eukaryota, Metazoa, Chordata, Cladistia, Polypteriformes, Polypteridae.